Molecule: long non-coding RNA, 371 nt
Organism: Alexandromys fortis (reed vole)
Lineage: Eukaryota; Metazoa; Chordata; Mammalia; Rodentia; Cricetidae
Exons: 3
Source: RefSeq, a predicted model, not a curated record
UCUAAUACUUUAGUAGAAUAUUUUUCUUUAAUGUUUUUAUGGUUCAUUGCUUAUAGGCACAUGCUGGUUAUAGGAAUCACCUAAGAAGAAGAACAUCAAUUGAAGAAUAGCCUUUAUCAGACUGGGCAUCUCUGUGGAGCUGGGCUGUAUACGAAAGGAAACUCCCCAAAUAGCAAAGUGAAUAAAAAAUAACUUCAGAAGAAAGGAUAUUGAAGACAUCUAGAAGAGGAGGAGCAUCUCCUUGAGGUUGGACUGGAUGAGAGAGAAGUUGCUAACUCACAACAUUGAGGGGAGGCUCAUUCUCUUCAGUGGGCAGAGCUUCUUCAGACACGUGGAGCUUCUUCAUCUGACUCAUCUAAAAUGAAGAAAUU